RNAcentral lists this ribosomal RNA (308 nucleotides) under uncultured eukaryote. RNAcentral describes it as "partial large subunit ribosomal RNA". It matches the Rfam family "Eukaryotic large subunit ribosomal RNA", at positions 40 to 350 of the family's 3401-position model. The record is from RNAcentral.
AUAUCAAUAAGCGGAGGAAAAGAAACCAACAGGGAUUGCCUCAGUAACGGCGAGUGAAGCGGCAAGAGCUCAAAUUUGAAAUCUGGCGCAAGCCCGAAUUGUAAUUUGUAGAGGAUUGUUCGGUUGCGGCUCCGGUCCAAGUGUCCUGGAAUGGAACAUCUCAGAGGGUGAGAAUCCCGUACCCGGCUGGGAGCCAACACCAUGUGAACAACCUUCGAAGAGUCGAGUUGUUUGGGAAUGCAGCUCAAAAUUGGUGGUAAACUCCAUCUAAAGCUAAAUAUUGGCCAGAGACCGAUAGCGCACAAGUA